Molecule: ribosomal RNA, 429 nt
Filed under: Ampithoe valida
Lineage: Eukaryota; Metazoa; Arthropoda; Malacostraca; Amphipoda; Ampithoidae
Description: partial 16S ribosomal RNA
Rfam family: Archaeal large subunit ribosomal RNA (bases 284-429)
Source: RNAcentral
AAGGUAGCAUAAUAAUUUGUUUCUUAAUUAGAUACUGGUAUGAACGAUAAUAUAUUUAACUAUUUCUUUAAAUUUUAAAAAAAUAAUUUAGGGUUUAAGUUAAAACACUUAAAUUUUUAAAAAAGACGAUAAGACCCUAAAAGCUUUAUUUUUAUUAAAAGUUUAAUUUAAAUUAACUUUUAGAAAAAAAUUUUACUGGGGUAGUAAAAAAUUAGUUUUUUUUUUGUAAAACAUAGAGGUUUUAAAUUCCUUAAUAUUAGGAUUGCAGAUAAGUUACUUUAGGGAUAACAGCGUAAUAGUGUUGAAAAGAACAUAUUUAUAAUACUGAUUACGACCUCGAUGUUGAAUUAAUUAAUCUUUUUAAAGCAGAAUUUAAAUAAGAAGGUUUGUUCAACCUUUAAUUAAUUACAUGAUCUGAGUUCAAACCGG